AGGUAAAGCACAUCACAAGACAAAAGGUCAAAAGAAAAUGUCUCUUGCUAUGCCACAUAUUACAAAUCUUACACCAUUUCAAGGAUCUUCACUGUCUAAUCAGGUAUACUGUAGAAGACUUAUAUGUUAACUAAAAUAUUAAAAGUACAUUUAUCAACAUUUAAAGAGCCCUUGAGGCUUGAUUACAUUAACAAGGGCUUGUUCCUUGUGUAUACCUAAUACAUGUGUAGUUACACAAAUAUGCAAAUGACGUCAUAACGUGCAUCCUACAAAUCAUAUUCUUACCAUGCUAUGACAGAGAUGCUAUGGUAUCGUCUAUAUUGUGUAUUUAUAACUGAUCAAAACUGAACAGGGAUUAUUGUAUGCAUGAAGUCAAUUCAGCUUAUGUUCUAUCUUUAGUAUCGACAGGAAGGGUUUUUCAACAUCUUAGAUAGUUUUUUGAGUUUGAAAAUUGUCUUCACUCCUCGGUUUGUUUUGGCGCGAAACGCGAGAGGUCCGUAUCGUGUGACACGGAUCUCUCGGUCAGCCAACCAGAAGGCUCGAUUUACGUUACGGACCUGGGGUUGCUGACCGGAAAAUAAAUAUUUAUAAAAAGAAAUAUUUUGAAUCGGUCGAAUAUUCUUUACGAUACGAUCGGUAGUUCUCGAACAAUACAGUGUACUGGCCAAAAUGAAUAUAUUUGUAAAAUAUUUUAAUAAAUAAUUUGUAAAAUAAUUUGUUUUUCAGGGAACCUCGAAUGGCGAAGAUCCUAAUUUGCCAUCUGUAUAGGUAAAACACAAGAAUAACGGGGUCGUUCAUCGAUAUUGAAUAUGCAUUAUUUAUAAGCGAGGAUAGCGUCUAAAUAGCGUGAUAGAUCCUGAUCGACAGCCUACGGCGUCCUUUCACGACGAAGUGACAUCAACCACCUCGCCAGAGUUGUUGCAUGGUUGAAGAUAUUGCCAAUGACAAUUAAUUUUAAUGUGUACAUAUUUCAAUUGUAAUUUUAAUGUGAAGUUAGUUGUGAUGUUUAUAGAAUUAAAAGUGUCAACAGUG
This is a non-coding RNA of Paramuricea clavata, 1032 nucleotides long. Lineage: Eukaryota; Metazoa; Cnidaria; Anthozoa; Malacalcyonacea; Plexauridae. The record is from the annotation of a GenBank genome assembly.